GAUGAACGCUGGCGGCGUGCUUAACACAUGCAAGUCGAACGGAAAGGCUCCUGCUUGCAGGGGUACUCGAGUGGCGAACGGGUGAGUAACACGUGGGUGAUCUGCCCUGCACUUCGGGAUAAGCCUGGGAAACUGGGUCUAAUACCGGAUAGGACGAUGGUUUGGAUGCCAUUGUGGAAAGUUUUUUCGGUGUGGGAUGAGCUCGCGGCCUAUCAGCUUGUUGGUGGGGUAAUGGCCUACCAAGGCGUCGACGGGUAGCCGGCCUGAGAGGGUGUACGGCCACAUUGGGACUGAGAUACGGCCCAGACUCCUACGGGAGGCAGCAGUGGGGAAUAUUGCACAAUGGGCGCAAACCUGAUGCAGCGACGCCGCGUGGGGGAUGACGGCCUUCGGGUUGUAAACUCCUUUCGCUAGGGACGAAGCGCAAGUGACGGUACCUGGAGAAGAAGCACCGGCUAACUACGUG
This 466-nucleotide ribosomal RNA is filed under the name uncultured bacterium. RNAcentral describes it as "partial 16S ribosomal RNA". It matches the Rfam family "Bacterial small subunit ribosomal RNA", at positions 28 to 507 of the family's 1533-position model. The record is from RNAcentral.